AAAGCGCACGUAGGCGGCUUUGUAAGUAAGAGGUGAAAGCCCAGAGCUCAACUCUGGAAUUGCCUUUUAGACUGCAUCGCUUGAAUCAUGGAGAGGUCAGUGGAAUUCCGAGUGUAGAGGUGAAAUUCGUAGAUAUUCGGAAGAACACCAGUGGCGAAGGCGGCUGACUGGACAUGUAUUGACGCUGAGGUGCGAAAGCGUGGGGAGCAAACAGGAUUAGAUACCCUUGU
RNAcentral lists this ribosomal RNA (230 nucleotides) under uncultured bacterium. RNAcentral's name for it is "partial 16S ribosomal RNA". It matches the Rfam family "Bacterial small subunit ribosomal RNA", at positions 562 to 791 of the family's 1533-position model. The record is from RNAcentral.